GACGAACGCUGGCGGCGUGCCUAAUACAUGCAAGUAGAACGCUGAAGCUUGGUGCUUGCACCGAGCGGAUGAGUUGCGAACGGGUGAGUAACGCGUAGGUAACCUGCCUGGCAGCGGGGGAUAACUAUUGGAAACGAUAGCUAAUACCGCAUAAGAGUAGAUGUUGCAUGACAUUUGCUUAAAAGGUGCAAUUGCGUCACUACCAGAUGGACCUGCGUUGUAUUAGCUAGUUGGUGAGGUAACGGCUCACCAAGGCAACGAUACAUAGCCGACCUGAGAGGGUGAUCGGCCACACUGGGACUGAGACACGGCCCAGACUCCUACGGGAGGCAGCAGUAGGGAAUCUUCGGCAAUGGACGGAAGUCUGACCGAGCAACGCCGCGUGAGUGAAGAAGGUUUUCGGAUCGUAAAGCUCUGUUGUAAGAGAAGAACGAGUGUGAGAGUGGAAAGUUCACACUGUGACGGUAUCUUACCAGAAAGGGACGGCUAACUACGUG
This 497-nucleotide ribosomal RNA is filed under the name uncultured bacterium. RNAcentral's name for it is "partial 16S ribosomal RNA". It matches the Rfam family "Bacterial small subunit ribosomal RNA", at positions 28 to 507 of the family's 1533-position model. The record is from RNAcentral.